RNAcentral lists this ribosomal RNA (252 nucleotides) under uncultured bacterium. RNAcentral describes it as "partial 16S ribosomal RNA". It matches the Rfam family "Bacterial small subunit ribosomal RNA", at positions 524 to 776 of the family's 1533-position model. The record is from RNAcentral.
UACGUAGGGGGCAAGCGUUGUCCGGAAUUAUUGGGCGUAAAGCGCGCGCAGGCGGCGAUGUAAGUUGGGUGUUUAAACCUAGGGCUCAACCUUGGGUCGCAUCCAAAACUGCAUCGCUUGAGUGCAGAAGAGGAAAGUGGAAUUCCACGUGUAGCGGUGAAAUGCGUAGAGAUGUGGAGGAACACCAGUGGCGAAGGCGACUUUCUGGGCUGUAACUGACGCUGAGGCGCGAAAGCGUGGGGAGCAAACAGG